This 156-nucleotide ribosomal RNA is filed under the name Hemigobius mingi. RNAcentral's name for it is "partial 12S ribosomal RNA". It matches the Rfam family "Bacterial small subunit ribosomal RNA", at positions 1343 to 1526 of the family's 1533-position model. Lineage: Eukaryota; Metazoa; Chordata; Actinopteri; Gobiiformes; Gobiidae. The record is from RNAcentral.
AGGAAAAUAGAGUGUUCCCCUGAAAAUGGCCCUGAAGCGCGCACACACCGCCCGUCACUCUCCCCAAUAAAGCAAACUCUUAAAUAAAAAGCAAGCGCAACAAAGGGGAGGUAAGUCGUAACAUGGUAAGUGUACCGGAAGGUGCACUUGGAAAAC